UGUAUAGGGAUCUGCCUGACAGUGGGGGACAACAGCCGGAAACGGCUGCUAAUACCGCAUACGCUCUACGGAGGAAAGUGGGGGACCUUUCGGGGCCUCACGCUGACAGAUGAACCUAUAUCAGAUUAGCUAGUUGGUGGGGUAAUGGCUUACCAAGGCGACGAUCUGUAGCUGGUCUGAGAGGAUGAUCAGCCACACUGGGACUGAGACACGGCCCAG
Molecule: ribosomal RNA, 219 nt
Filed under: uncultured bacterium
Lineage: Bacteria
Description: partial 16S ribosomal RNA
Rfam family: Bacterial small subunit ribosomal RNA
Source: RNAcentral